Molecule: ribosomal RNA, 254 nt
Filed under: uncultured bacterium
Lineage: Bacteria
Description: partial 16S ribosomal RNA
Rfam family: Bacterial small subunit ribosomal RNA
Source: RNAcentral
UACGUAGGGUGCGAGCGUUGUCCGGAAUUAUUGGGCGUAAAGAGCCCGUAGGCGGUUCGUCGCGUCGAAUGUGAAAACCCGGGGCUCAACUCCGGGCCUGCAUUCGAUACGGGCGGACUAGAGUUCGGUAGGGGAGACUGGAAUUCCUGGUGUAGCGGUGAAAUGCGCAGAUAUCAGGAGGAACACCGGUGGCGAAGGCGGGUCUCUGGGCCGAGUACUGACGCUGAGGAGCGAAAGCGUGGGGAGCGAACAGG